CAGUCGAACGGGGAUGCAUUAAGAAGGAGUGCUUGCAUUCCGGAAGGAUGUCAUCUUAGUGGCGGACGGGUGAGUAACGCGUGGGUAACCUGCCCCAUACCGGGGGAUACCACCUGGAAACAGGUGCUAAUACCGCAUAAGCGCACGGGAGCGCAUGCUCCUGUGUGAAAAACUCCGGUGGUAUGGGAUGGACCCGCGUCUGAUUAGCCAGUUGGCAGGGUAACGGCCUACCAAAGCGACGAUCAGUAGCCGGCCUGAGAGGGUGGACGGCCACAUUGGGACUGAGACACGGCCCAAACUCCUACGGGAGGCAGCAGUGGGGAAUAUUGCACAAUGGGGGAAACCCUGAUGCAGCGACGCCGCGUGAGUGAAGAAGUAUUUCGGUAUGUAAAGCUCUAUCAGCAGGAACGAGACAAGACGGUACCUGACUAAGAAGCCCCGGCUAACUACGUGCCAGCAGCCGCGGUAAUACGUAGGGGGCAAGCGUUAUCCGGAAUCACUGGGUGUAAAGGGAGCGUAGACGGCUGAGCAAGCCUGAAGUGAAAGGCGGGGGCCCAACCCCUGGACUGCUUUGGGAACUGUACGGCUGGAGUGCAGGAGAGGUAAGUGGAAUUCCUAGUGUAGCGGUGAAAUGCGUAGAUAUUAGGAGGAACACCAGUGGCGAAGGCGGCUUACUGGACUGUAACUGACGUUGAGGCUCGAAAGCGUGGGGAGCAAACAGGAUUAGAUACCCUGGUAGUCCACGCCGUAAACGAUGAUUACUAGGUGUCGGGGGGCAGAGGCCCUUCGGUGCCGCAGCAAACGCAAUAAGUAAUCCACCUGGGGAGUACGUCCGCAAGGAUGAAACU
RNAcentral lists this ribosomal RNA (848 nucleotides) under uncultured bacterium. Its description in RNAcentral is "bacterial SSU rRNA". It matches the Rfam family "Bacterial small subunit ribosomal RNA", at positions 59 to 901 of the family's 1533-position model. The record is from RNAcentral.